Salvia splendens (bonfire salvia) is the source of this 841-nucleotide long non-coding RNA. RefSeq lists it as uncharacterized. NCBI's taxonomy places the organism in Eukaryota, Viridiplantae, Streptophyta, Magnoliopsida, Lamiales, Lamiaceae. The transcript is spliced from 3 exons. The record is from RefSeq and is a predicted model, not a curated record.
UUCUACUCCUGAAUUAUCUUUCCUAGGUGAAUUUUGAUAUGCAUUCUGUAACUCUUUGAGAGGGUCCUCGCUGGUAGAUGAAUCCCCCUUGACCCACUCUGGCCCUGAUUUGCACUGCUUCUCAAACAUCAUCUGAAGAGUUCGAUUCAAGUGUGCCACGUUUGGGCAUGUUGACAAGGAAAUACUACACAGCCUCAGUAAGCUGGUGCCUAGCGGGCUCUUGCAAAAUUUUCACAAACCAAAACGGCAUACCUCAAGUUGUUCAUGAAGCCUCUUUUGUACUUCCAUCUGCAACCGCAGAGCUUCAGUGAUCUCAAUACCCCUGAUCCAUAAUGUUCAUGGAACACAAUAAUCAGCCAGAAAACAUAAAGGUUUUGUGGUUCAUAAGAAAACCAUACUUCAUACUUGGUGGCACAGCUAGAUAGCCAGCCAGGAGGCAAGGGUCUGGAAAGGCAGCAGGUAAUGGGUGCAUUCAAAAUCAAUGAAGAGACCAAUUUGCAGAUCAAUUCAUAUAGCACACGCAUACACACAGCGACAAACUUAUUCAGUUAUUCUCAAAUAGGGGACUAGCCUGUGAAUUUGGUGAUUACAUACUAAUCCAAGAGUCAUGUACUAAUUUUGAACAUUAGAAGGAGCGCAAAUGAUCAAUCAAAAUAAAUAUCAACAGAAGCACUGCAAAUUACCUACAACACCAUAGAGAUAAAUAUGCUUAACAAUUUGUAUACAAUUAUUAUGGAUAAAACUAACUACAGUUUCUAAAACUGUCUGUUUAUAUUCCCUUCAAGAACAAAAUGCAUUAUAUGAAAGAAAAUAUAUCCAUCUCAGACGUAAGGACCCAACA